RNAcentral lists this ribosomal RNA (442 nucleotides) under uncultured bacterium. Its description in RNAcentral is "bacterial SSU rRNA". It matches the Rfam family "Bacterial small subunit ribosomal RNA", at positions 29 to 526 of the family's 1533-position model. The record is from RNAcentral.
AACGAACGCUGGCGGCAGGCCUAACACAUGCAAGUCGAACGAUAGAGUGGCGAACGGGUGAGUAACGCGUGGGAACGUACCCUUCUCUGCGGAAUAGCCUCUGGAAACGGGGAGUAAUACCGCAUACGCCGGAAACGGGAAAGAUUUAUCGGAGAAGGAUCGGCCCGCGUCUGAUUAGGUAGUUGGUGUGGUAACGGCGCACCAAGCCUACGAUCAGUAGCUGGUCUGAGAGGAUGAUCAGCCACACUGGGACUGAGACACGGCCCAGACUCCUACGGGAGGCAGCAGUGGGGAAUCUUGGACAAUGGGCGCAAGCCUGAUCCAGCCAUGCCGCGUGAGCGAUGAAGGCCUUAGGGUUGUAAAGCUCUUUCGCCAGGGAUGAUAAUGACAGUACCUGGUAAAGAAGUCCCGGCUAACUUCGUGCCAGCCGCCGCCGUAACAC